RNAcentral lists this ribosomal RNA (256 nucleotides) under uncultured bacterium. Its description in RNAcentral is "partial 16S ribosomal RNA". It matches the Rfam family "Bacterial small subunit ribosomal RNA", at positions 524 to 777 of the family's 1533-position model. The record is from RNAcentral.
UACGAAGGGGGCUAGCGUUGCUCGGAAUCACUGGGCGUAAAGGGUGCGUAGGCGGGUUCUAAGUCAGAGGUGAAAUCCUGGAGCUCAACUCCAGAACUGCCUUUGAUACUGGAAGUCUUGAGUAUGGGAGAGGUGAGUGGAACUGCGAGUGUAGAGGUGAAAUUCGUAGAUAUUCGCAAGAACACCAGUGGCGAAGGCGGCUCACUGGCCCCAUUACUGACGCUGAGGCUACGAAAGCGUGGGGAGCCAAACAGGG